This is a long non-coding RNA of Corapipo altera (White-ruffed manakin), 970 nucleotides long. RefSeq lists it as uncharacterized. The transcript is spliced from 2 exons. The record is from RefSeq and is a predicted model, not a curated record. NCBI's taxonomy places the organism in Eukaryota, Metazoa, Chordata, Aves, Passeriformes, Pipridae.
CUUUGGGAAUACCUCCCUUUUUGGGGUUUGGAGACCCUUCCCUUUGGGUUUUGGGGAACCCCCCCUUUGGGAACCCCCUUUUUGGGGUUUGGAGACCCUUCCCUUUGGGCAACUCCCCUUUUAGGGACCCUUCCUUUUGGGAACCCCCUUUUUGGGGAACCCUCCAUUUAGGGGAACAUCCUUUUUUGGGGACACCCUCUUUGGAGAACCCUCCCUUUGGGAACCCCUCGUUUGUGGGACCCUCUGCACCCCAAAUGCACCCACACCCCCCAAUCCUUCCCCGUGCAUCCCCCAGCACGGUUUUUAACCCCAAAAUCCUUCCCAGGAGGGUUCAAAAAAAGCCUCGAGGGGGGAUUUCUUUUUGGAGAAGGGGUGUGGAAUUUUACUCACCAUCCCACCCCCACCCCCAGCAGUUCCCACGGGAUUUCAUUUGGGGGUUGGGGUUUUUUUCGGGGCGUUUUUUAUUCCCAUUCCCAAGAGGCCGUUCCAGUUUCCCCCCCGUCUCGCUCCGAGGGAGUUUUCAAGAUUCUUGUAUUUACUUGUUUUAUAUGGAAAAAAAAAACCAAACCAACUCAAACCCCCCCCUUUCUCUCCCACCCUCCCCUUCCCAACGUUCUUUGUACGCAGUUCUCGGGUCCUUUUCCAGGGGAGGGAGAUCUUUCCACAGAAAACAAAAAGUCCUGGUUCUCCAACUUUUUCUGGCCAAUUUUGGUUUUUAAUAUGAUUAUUUUUCUAUGGUUCGUGGUGAAGAUCUGUCGGUGGCUUUUCCAAGUCCGUGGUUUUUUUUUUUCUUUGGCGAUGGAAUGAGGUUCUUUUAGUCCCACAGGUUACCCCCCCCCCCCCCCCCAAAAAAAAAACACAAAAACACAAAACAGCCAAAAACGACAGGGGAUGGCCCCCCCCCCCCCCUCCUCCUUGUUUUCCCGGUGUCAUUAUUGCCUCAUUCAAUAAAUUGUUACAAAUGUGUCUA